GGAAGGUGUGGGAGUUCAUCUGUGGGGUCUGAAGACGUGAGAGUGGUAGAGUCUACAGAAUCCUGUACACGUGGAGGGGAAGUGUGAGCUAAGGGCCUCAGCGCCCUGGUAUUGAAGACUUCCUGGUAAAGCAGGGCGUAUAAUUGGCUGUCUUGAGGGCACAACGUGGGAGACUCCAUGGGAAUACCGUGGCAGGGGGAUGACCUUGCAGGCCAGACCCAGAGCUUAGAGUGCAUCCAUGUGUCCCCCUGCCUGUUGCUGCUGAGGACUGAACACAGUGAUUGAUGGGAAGUGUGGUGUGACCUUUGAGGACAUUGCCGUGUACUUCUCCUGGAAGGAGUGGAGGCUUCUUGAUGAGGCUCAGAGACGGCUGUACCACCAUGUGAUGCUGGAGAACUUUACACUUAUAUCCUCACUGGAUAUUUAUGCCUGAGGCAGGGCUUAAUCUCUCCACCCAGACAUCAAGACCUGGGCCAAAACCAAGAGUUGGAUGCUUAAUUGACUGGGCCACCUAGACGCCCUUACAUUAUGGGGAAUUAUUACAAAUGAACCUAAUCGACACAGGAUCGCUUGACAUAAUUACGUUUUUUGUUGUUGGUGGUUCCAAAGCUUAGUAUCUACUCUGAUAGCAAAUUUCAAGUGUACAAUAAAAUAUUAACAACUGUA
Long non-coding RNA from Callorhinus ursinus (northern fur seal), 666 nucleotides. RefSeq lists it as uncharacterized. Lineage: Eukaryota; Metazoa; Chordata; Mammalia; Carnivora; Otariidae. The record is from RefSeq and is a predicted model, not a curated record.